RNAcentral lists this unclassified non-coding RNA (300 nucleotides) under uncultured Cotylidia. RNAcentral describes it as "sequence contains 5.8S rRNA gene, ITS2". The stretch from base 1 to 71 matches the Rfam family "5.8S ribosomal RNA", at positions 84 to 154 of the family's 154-position model. Lineage: Eukaryota; Fungi; Basidiomycota; Agaricomycetes; Hymenochaetales. The record is from RNAcentral.
GUGAGUCAUCGAAUCUUUGAACGCACCUUGCGCUCCUUGGUAUUCCGAGGAGCAUGCCUGUUUGAGUGUCAUGAAAUUCUCAACCUCUCAAGCUUUUUUUAAGCAUGAUGAGGCUUGGACUUGGGGGUUGCUGGCCUUUAUCGGUCGGCUCCUCUUGAAUGCAUUAGCUGGACUUUUCUGAUCACAGAGUGGUUCACGGUGUGAUAAUUAUCUACGCCAUGGUAAGCCCAUCUCUGAGUUCUGGUCAAGCUCAUAAACCGUCUUAGGACACUUUUCAAAUCUGACCUCAAAUCAGGUAGG